Molecule: long non-coding RNA, 1786 nt
Organism: Podarcis raffonei (Aeolian wall lizard)
Lineage: Eukaryota; Metazoa; Chordata; Lepidosauria; Squamata; Lacertidae
Exons: 2
Source: RefSeq, a predicted model, not a curated record
UUUACCUUCCCGCUGGAGCGGUACCUAUUUAUCUACUUGCACUUUUUGGCAUGCUUUCGAACUGCUAGGUUGCCAGGAGCAGGGACGGAGCAAUGGGAGCUCGCCCCGUCGCGGGGAUUCGAACCACCAACCUUCUGAAUGGCAAGCCCUAGGCUCUGUGGUUUAACCCACAGCGCCACCUGCGUGGCACCUUUUAACUGGUUUCUGAGCCCUGGCCUAGAGGAAGCUCCAUGCCUGAGGCACUGCAAGUACCAGUAAACAGUGCAAACCAUGCUCAAAGCAGCUUACAACAUUUCAACAAAAAAUACAGAACUACAACAUAAUGAAAGUAGUCAUAAACAGUAAGUUAAACAUUUAAAAAUACAAAACCAAACUGAACAAUUUCCACAUAAAUCGCAACAAAAUCUGAAAUAAAGAUACAGAACAGCAACAGCAACAACGUCACCUCAAUAAACAAGAACAUGCAGUAAAAACAUGCUCAAAGGUUUUAAUCUCUGAACAGUACUGCAGAUCCUGCACUAUUUGGCCAGCCAAUCAGAUCUGCAGUAUUGGCUGAAGAAUCCAUGCCCAUUUACUGGAAACCAGCCAGAAGAUCAGUUGGUAGCUCUCGAUUCCUGUCUACGCAAGGCUUAUGAGUUCCUGGAAACAAGCGGGAGGGGGAAAAGGUAUUUUACAUAAUUGUGCAAUUAUCAAGUAGGAGUUAUGCUUUCCCACUAGAAAACUUUUAUGUUUCUUUUUAUCCAGCUUCUUAAAAGCUAGAUGUGGUACUUAAAAAGGCAUGAAAAACCUGUUCUUAGUUUCGCUGAAGAUCCAUUUGCAGAAUGUUCAUAAGAUAAACAGCUGAGAGCUAAGUUUUAUAUUAGUCUUUCCCACACAAAGAGGGAAAACAGAAACUUUAAACUAAAUGUUCUGUUCUGGUCCUGAAUCAUGGGGCAGGACAGUAGUUACUACAAUGUGUUCUCUGCUCAUUCAGUCCCUCUGAUGCAAAUCAGGAAUUAAGCACCUGCUUUCUUGGGGUGCAGGUGGGGAAUUGCCACUUAGCCCAGCUUAUUUUCACACGUGUUGAAAAUCGUGGUAUAGAAGUAUAAAAACAACUAAGUCCCACGACACUUUAAAGCAGCCUUCCCCAAUCUGGUGCCCUGAAGGUGUUUGGAACUACAACUCCCAUCAACCUUCACCCAGCAUAGCCAGGUUAGCUUGGACUGAUAGAAGACACACACCAAACAUGUGGAAAGCGCCCAGUUGGAGGAGACUGGGAUUUAGGGGCUGUCCUUGAUAUCACACUGAGCCUUGGAAGCCUCUCAUAAAGCAAUGGGAACUUCUUGUUUUUUAAUUAUUUCCCAGGUGGUAGAAGUUUCAGAACUACUUAACUUCAAAGCAAGUGCAUGUUGCUGCAGUCUUUGUGACCAAAUAUGAAAGCAGAUUGGGUAGACAUUUCCUUUUCUAGUGCCAUUUCCUUUUCUAUCAUCUGGAAGAUGGCCUUGACCAUAACCUAACAAUAAGAGGGUCAGGAAGCUAUCUAUAAUUACUGCAGUAAGGAUUUACUAAUUGUUCUACUGCUGCCUAGCUAAACUGCUUACCUUCAAAGGUGCUUUACUACUGUAUCUUAAGAUUAUAGGGGCAAGACAAUACUUGUGCAAAUAAAUAAGAUGCUUUAAAUAUUUUAAUGUAAAAAUUAGGUUAAAAUCUUGUCUACUGAAAAUAGCCAAUCUGUACACAAAACAUACUCUUCUCCGAAGUAAUACGCCUGUGAUAAUGUGAGGUUGUAAUGACAUUCUUUAAGGAU